This 423-nucleotide ribosomal RNA is filed under the name uncultured bacterium. RNAcentral's name for it is "bacterial SSU rRNA". It matches the Rfam family "Bacterial small subunit ribosomal RNA", at positions 207 to 622 of the family's 1533-position model. The record is from RNAcentral.
AAGACCUUGCGCUUUUGGAGCGGCCGAUGUCUGAUUAGCUUGUUGGUGAGGUAAAGGCUUACCAAGGCUUCGAUCAGUAGCUGGUCUGAGAGGACGGCCAGCCACACUGGGACUGAGACACGGCCCAGACUCCUACGGGAGGCAGCAGUGGGGAAUUUUGGACAAUGGGGGCAACCCUGAUCCAGCCAUGCCGCGUGAGUGAAGAAGGCCUUCGGGUUGUAAAGCUCUUUCAGCCGGAACGAAACGGUUACGAUUAAUACCCGUAACUACUGACGGUACCGGAAGAAGAAGCACCGGCUAACUACGUGCCAGCAGCCGCGGUAAUACGUAGGGUGCAAGCGUUAAUCGGAAUUACUGGGCGUAAAGCGUGCGCAGGUGGUUUUGUAAGUCAGAUGUGAAAUCCCCGGGCUUAACCUGGGAACU